AACGCUAGCUACAGGCUUAACACAUGCAAGUCGAGGGGAAACGAUAUUGGAAGCUUGCUUCCGAUGGGCGUCGACCGGCGCACGGGUGAGUAACGCGUAUCCAACCUGCCCAUCACUUGGGGAUAACCUUGCGAAAGUAAGUCUAAUACCCAAUGACGUCUCUAGAAGACAUCUGAAGGAGAUUAAAGAUUUAUCGGUGAUGGAUGGGGAUGCGUCUGAUUAGCUUGUUGGCGGGGUAACGGCCCACCAAGGCAACGAUCAGUAGGGGUUCUGAGAGGAAGGUCCCCCACAUUGGAACUGAGACACGGUCCAAACUCCUACGGGAGGCAGCAGUGAGGAAUAUUGGUCAAUGGACGAGAGUCUGGACCAGCCAAGUAGCGUGCAGGAUGACGGCCCUAUGGGUUGUAAACUGCUUUUAUAAGGGAAUAAAGUGAGUCUCGUGAGACUUUUUGCAUGUACCUUAUGAAUAAGGACCGGCUAAUUCCGUGCCAGCAGCCGCGGUAAUACGGAAGGUCCGGGCGUUAUCCGGAUUUAUUGGGUUUAAAGGGAGCGUAGGCCGGAGAUUAAGCGUGUUGUGAAAUAUAGACGCUCAACGUCUGCACUGCAGCGCGAACUGGUUUCCUUGAGUACGCACAAAGUGGGCGGAAUUCGUGGUGUAGCGGUGAAAUGCUUAGAUAUCACGAAGAACUCCGAUUG
RNAcentral lists this ribosomal RNA (696 nucleotides) under uncultured bacterium. RNAcentral describes it as "bacterial SSU rRNA". It matches the Rfam family "Bacterial small subunit ribosomal RNA", at positions 32 to 715 of the family's 1533-position model. The record is from RNAcentral.